CUCAGGAUGAACGCUGGCGGCGUGCCUAACACAUGCAAGUCGAACGAGGUAUUUGAUUGGAGAUUCGUCAAAGAUCGUUAUACCGAGUGGCGGAUGGGUGAGUAACGCGUGGAGAACCUGCCCUUAUCUGGGGGAUAACAACUGGAAACGGUUGACAAUACCGCAUACGCUUCCUAAGUCGCAUGACCAUGGAAGGAAAGAUUUAUCGGAUAAGGAUGGCUCCGCGUCGGAUUAGCCAGUUGCGGGUAACGGCCCACCAAAGCGACGAUCCGUAGCCGGCCUGAGAGGGCGACCGGCCACAUUGGGACUGAGACACGGCCCAGACUCCUACGGGAGGCAGCAGUGGGGAUAUUGCACAAUGGGGAAACCCUGAUGCAGCGACGCCGCGUGGAGGAAGAAGUAUUUCGGUAUGUAAACUCCUAUCAGCAGGGAAGAAAACGACGGUACCUGACUAAGAAGCCCCGGCUAACUACGUGCCAGCCGCCGC
RNAcentral lists this ribosomal RNA (487 nucleotides) under uncultured bacterium. Its description in RNAcentral is "bacterial SSU rRNA". It matches the Rfam family "Bacterial small subunit ribosomal RNA", at positions 23 to 518 of the family's 1533-position model. The record is from RNAcentral.